This is a long non-coding RNA of Papaver somniferum (opium poppy), 1216 nucleotides long. RefSeq lists it as uncharacterized. Lineage: Eukaryota; Viridiplantae; Streptophyta; Magnoliopsida; Ranunculales; Papaveraceae. The record is from RefSeq and is a predicted model, not a curated record. The transcript is spliced from 2 exons.
CUCAUUAACAAUCAUCUUAUUUCCUUUCUUCUUUUUUUCUCCCGGUUUUCCAAUCAAACUAUUCUUCUUCUUCAAAAUUGAUAGAAAACUUUGGGGUUCAUCUGAAAUCAAGGAUAAUCGUAUUUUGGAUUAAUUUUUUAGCACAAAAUUAAGUUGUUUGAUUGAGAUUUUAUUGUAGUAAGGAUGGCGAAAUCAAAACGAAAAAGAAAAUCAAGAAAUCAGCAGCAGGACGUACAUAAAGUGUUUGUGGAAAUGCGGCUUAGGAAACAAUGGGAAGCUCGAGUCUGUAUCAACAGCAUGACGUACAGAAGGUGUUUGUGGAAAUGCCCGAGGGAUCAAUUUUUGACAGAUUGAUUAACGGAUCUGAAGGUGUUUAAUGGAUCCAUAUACAAUCACAAGAUGGACUGCUGCGCUGACUGGUUUAACGGAUCUGAAGUGUUCGUCAAACUUGGUAAUGGUUUAACUGGUGUCUUGUUGUCAUUGGUGACGAGAUGGAGAUUGAUUUGGAGAUAGUACUUUUCCAGAUGGAUGCCAUUGUGUUUUGUUGUCAUUGGUAGUGAUUAGGAACAAUAGAGAAGAUUAAAUGAGUUGAUAUGCAAGUGGGUCUUAGAUUAUGCUACCAAUUUAUGGUUAAGAUUGUAGUUGUGUAACUGGUUCUGGUGAGGAUGCGGGUGCACUGCUGAGAAUGUAGAGAAGAAAGUUGAGUAAUUGUUGUUAAUUAUAGAGAAAUCUGGUGUUGGAUUGAGGCUGGUGAUGAUGUUGACUUGAGACAAUGAAGCAAUACAGAGAAGGAAUGUAAUGGUGCUUCAAUGGUGGUACAUGAACUGAUUUGGAUGCGGAAAUAGAUGAAUGUUAGAUGAAUUCAGGGAAGUAGGAUAAUAGGAUGGGUCAGUAUGACCGUGGAUUUGUUUUGAUUGCAGACAGUAAUUGAGCUGAGAUGGUGAAAGUUCAGGAGAUGGAUUUGGUUGCUGCUAAAGGAAAUGGUCAGUUUCCAGGUGAAAAUGCUUUUGAAGCUCUCGGAGGAGAUGCACAAUAAUAAAACGUCCCUGUUUUGUGGCCUGCAUAUAUAGCCUCCGGUACUUUUGAUCACUGUACUAAUGUUGUCUAUAUGCCACCACCAUAAUUGCAUCAUCAUACUGCAUUUUCUUCAUCAUUUGGUGAUGAAAUGGGAUUGUAAGAAACUGUGAUUUAAUGGUGGAAUAAUAAGAUUAGCUGC